This is a transfer RNA of Nematocida sp., 72 nucleotides long. It matches the Rfam family "tRNA". From Rfam's summary of the family: Transfer RNA (tRNA) molecules are approximately 80 nucleotides in length. Their secondary structure includes four short double-helical elements and three loops (D, anti-codon, and T loops). NCBI's taxonomy places the organism in Eukaryota, Fungi, Microsporidia. The record is from Rfam.
GGCUCGGUGGCGCAAGGGUAGCGCUUUCGACUCCAGAUCGAAUGGUUGGGAGUUCGAAUCUCUCCCGGGUCA